GUGAAACAUUGUUUUGCCAAAAUGGAUGAUUAAUCAAAGGUAAGUAGGUAACACAUACAUAAUAUAAUUAGUGUGCCUGCCUCUCUGUCUUUCUCUGUGUUUAGAUAAGUCAGACUGUUGAAACAGGAGCAGAGGAGUCACAGGGAGAUCAGGCAGUUGUAGGCUAUUUUAGUCGCCCUCAUUCAACAAAGAGGCAGGAAUUCUUUAAGUUUCACCCACAACAGAAGGCCACAAACCCUGUCGUCCAGAAGCUCUUCUCUAGAACAGAUGACAUGGCAUGGAAAUGGCUGACUUAUUGUGAUCAACGCCAUGCAUUGUUUUGUUUUGUUUGUCUUGCUUAUAGCAAACCCAAUGAUUCAAGUGCUUUCAUUAGAGGCAUGGCAGACUGGAGGCAUGUGCACCAAAGAAUAGAGGAGCAUGAGAGAGGCAUGGCACACAGACAAUGUGCUGAGGCAUAAUUUUUAAACUGCUCAAGAGUGAACAUUUCUCACCUCCUUGAGGGAAGACAGCUGACAGGACACCGUGAGCAGGUGAAGAAGAGGCGUCAGGUGUUGGAACGUGUAGUGGAGGUAGUGAAAGUUCUAGGGAAGAGAGGCUUAAGCUACAGACAGGAGCACAAUGAAGCUGCAUACACCUUGGGCACUGAAAUCCUCGACCAUGGCAAUUUAUUAGAAUUAAUUAUAUUGUUGGGGAAAUAUGAUGUUUGCUUAAAAGAACAUCUCAACAAUGUAAUUGAGAAAAGCAAGGAGAUUCAUGCUUCCAGCACACAAGGCAGAGGUUCUCUGGUCACCCUCUUGUCCAAAAGAAUCGUGAAUUCAGUAAUUGAUUCCAUCAAGCAUUUAACUCAAGAGAGCAUCUCUGCAGAUAUCAAGAAAGCAGGGAUGUUUUCUGUGCAGCUUGACACAACCCAGGACAUCAUAGGGAAAGACCAGUGUUCUGUAAUUCUGAUCUCAUGAUGGCCUUUUUAUUGAAGUGGUGUCCACACUGCCAUAAUGAACCUGAAGACUCUUGCCACAAAUGCAAGAAGCAAGGCCAAAGGAUACAGAGACGGCUUACUCCGAUAUGAAACUGUGCUAACAGCUCAGUUAUUCUUGCGGAUAUUUGAAUUCACCUCACCGCUAUCAAAAUAUCUACAGACCAGUGGAAUGGACAUCCUCUCAGCACAUAGGAUGGUCACCACAACACAUGAGCCAUUGAAAAAGAUUGCAAGAGAUUUCCCGGCUGUCAAAGAUGCAGCUGACUGUUUUGUACAUGGCCUCAACAGCUGUUGAGGCCAUGCACCAAAGAUUCUUCACCCAUGACACCCUGUAUGCAGAUUUAUCCCUCCUUCAUCCCAGAAACUUUCCCCUUAUCAAGACCAGUGCUCUCCCUGAAUCUUCACUUGAAGAACUCAGCAAGUGCCUAGUUGUGUAUGACAGCAGGGCAACUGUUUCCAAUCUACAAAUUGAACUGAGAAACUUGGCACAGCAAUGGGACAUAAAAAACCGACUGAGAAGUUGCCUGUCUGCCAACAAACUGGAAGCCUUUAUGUUGAUGGCCAUCGAAAAGGAUGUCCUUGUGUCCCUUGAUAAUGACACAGUGAUUGACAGAGUUGCAGAGAAGAGUGAACUAAUGAAGAAGCUGCUUUUGUAAGGCUUCACUAGCUGCUUUCAGUUGCUCAAGUAAUCAUCCGGUGCCUUACAUGCUCUUGAGGAUUAUCAGAGGGCCAUUCAACAUUUUCUCAACCAGGUGCCCUACCCCAGAGAUGUUCCAGGUAUAUGCCUUUCAUUGGUGUGAACUUCACAGGCAUUCUUCACAUUUGCAUAUUUUCAGUGAAGGUUUGCCUUUUCCUGGUGUGGAGUUCACAUGCGUUCUUUGUUUAUUAGCACCAAGGGGCAUGCUGCCUUUUGUCUCAG
Long non-coding RNA from Labeo rohita (rohu), 1895 nucleotides. RefSeq lists it as uncharacterized. NCBI's taxonomy places the organism in Eukaryota, Metazoa, Chordata, Actinopteri, Cypriniformes, Cyprinidae. The record is from RefSeq and is a predicted model, not a curated record. The transcript has 5 exons.